Molecule: ribosomal RNA, 468 nt
Filed under: uncultured bacterium
Lineage: Bacteria
Description: partial 16S ribosomal RNA
Rfam family: Bacterial small subunit ribosomal RNA
Source: RNAcentral
GACGAACGCUGGCGGCGUGCUUAACACAUGCAAGUCGAACGGAAAGGCUCCAGCUUGCUGGAGUACUCGAGUGGCGAACGGGUGAGUAACACGUGGGUGAUCUGCCCUGCACUUCGGGAUAAGCCUGGGAAACUGGGUCUAAUGCCGGAUAGGACCGCACUUUGGUGUGUGUGGUGGAAAGGUUUUUCUGGUGUGGGAUGAGCUCGCGGCCUAUCAGUUUGUUGGUGGGGUAAUGGCCUACCAAGACGGCGACGGGUAGCCGGCCUGAGAGGGUGGACGGUCACAUUGGGACUGAGAUACGGCCCAGACUCCUACGGGAGGCAGCAGUGGGGAAUAUUGCACAAUGGGGGAAACCCUGAUGCAGCGACGCCGCGUGGGGGAUGAAGGCCUUCGGGUUGUAAACUCCUUUCGCUAGGGACGAAGCUUUUUGUGACGGUACCUGGAGAAGAAGCACCGGCUAACUACGUG